This 252-nucleotide ribosomal RNA is filed under the name uncultured bacterium. Its description in RNAcentral is "partial 16S ribosomal RNA". It matches the Rfam family "Bacterial small subunit ribosomal RNA", at positions 524 to 776 of the family's 1533-position model. The record is from RNAcentral.
UACGUAGGGUGCAAGCGUUAAUCGGAAUUACUGGGCGUAAAGCGUGCGUAGGCGGCUAUGUAAGACAGAUGUGAAAUCCCUGGGCUUAACCUAGGAACUGCAUUUGUGACUGCAUUGCUAGAGUGUGGUAGAGGGAGAUGGAAUUCCGCGUGUAGCAGUGAAAUGCGUAGAUAUGCGGAGGAACACCAAUGGCGAAGGCAAUCUCCUGGACCUGCACUGACGCUCAUGCACGAAGCGUGGGGAGCAAACAGG